This 588-nucleotide ribosomal RNA is filed under the name Triticum aestivum (bread wheat). RNAcentral's name for it is "partial small subunit ribosomal RNA". The record is from RNAcentral. Lineage: Eukaryota; Viridiplantae; Streptophyta; Magnoliopsida; Poales; Poaceae.
AUGGCGGCAUGGAUCUCCCUAGGACGACGCAUCUCUUUGGGUCCACCUGGUCUUUGCUCCCUCUAUUACUCACUUCGGCGAAUUUGUACUCAUCCGAUUGGCCCUUCAUUCAUACAUAGAAUCUGGCCGGUCCACUACCUUGCUGGAUGGAUGGGCGUGUACCUCAAGAAACCCUAUGGAAACAGAGCAAAAACACCAAAUUUCCCGAGCCCCAAAAUCUUGGCAGUACAGCCUAAUAUGGUGAAAACCAUGUUUAAGACGCCACGUCUUUUUACUCCCAAAGAGGCACAUGCUUUCCUCAAUGACUAUAAGAAUAUUGCUUGGAACCCCCAUUCUCUCACUAUGGAAGGUGUGUUCAAACCCAAGAGGGCUUUCUUAAUUUCUAUUUGUCGAGGCAUGCUGCCGUGGAGGCGUGGUACUAUCACCGCCGACGUGUGUAUAGCUGAACCAUAUCACCCAGAUCGAGUGGCACGACAGUUUCGUCUUGACCCAGUUGUACCCUUUUCUCCUCUAGCGAGCCUGUAUACUCAAGACGAAAUUGGAAUUGCCUAUGCUUUUUUGGUCACACCUAUUAUCCUUGGCCCCUGA